CUGCCGGACCCCACUGCUAUCGGAAUGGGACUAAGACAUGCUAGUCGUGCGCUUUCUAGCCAUGCUGGAAGCGCGGCACACAGCUCAGUAGCACGUGGCUAACCAGCCCUUGGGACGGGAACAACCCCGGGAAACUGGGGCUAAUUCCCGAUAGGUGAAGAUCCCUGGAAUGGGUUUUCGCCCAAAAGACGUUUGGGUCAUGCUUUCAGACGUUGCCCAAGGAUGGGGCCGCGGCCGAUCAUGUUGUUGGUGAGGUAACGGCUCACCAAGCCUUUGACCGGUUCGGGCCGUGAGAGCGGUAGCCCGGAGAUGGGCACUGAGACAAGGGCCCAGGCCUUACGGGGCGCAGCAGUCGCGAAAACUUCGCAAUAAGCGAAAGCUUGACGGGGUCAUCUAMGAGUACCAUCUGCUGAGGAUGGCUUUUACCCAGUAUASAUAGCUGGAGGAAUAAGGAGAGGGCAAGUCUGGUGUCAGCCGCCGCGGUAAUACCAGCUCUCCGAGUUGUGGGGACGUUUAUUGAACCUGAAGCAUCCGGAGCCGGCUGUGUAAGUCCUCUGUUAAAUCCAACGACUAAUCGUUGGCGUGCGGGGGAUACUGCUCGGCUAGGGGGCGGGAGAGGCCGUCGGUAUUCUUGGGGUAGGGGUGAAAUCCUAUAAUCCCAGGAGGACCACCAGUGGCGAAGGCUGUCGGCUAGAACGCGCCCGACGGUGAGGGAUGAAAGCUGGGGGAGCGAACCGGAUUAGAUACCCGGGUAGUCCCAGCUGUAAACGAUGCAGGCUAGGUGUUAGGGCGGCUACGUGCCGCUCUAGUGCCGCAGGGAAGCUGUUAAGCCUGCCGCUUGGGGAGUACGGCCGCAAGGCUGAAACUUAAAGGAAUUGGCGGGAAGGGCGAAUUC
This 895-nucleotide ribosomal RNA is filed under the name uncultured archaeon. RNAcentral's name for it is "bacterial SSU rRNA". It matches the Rfam family "Archaeal small subunit ribosomal RNA", at positions 14 to 884 of the family's 1478-position model. The record is from RNAcentral.